Long non-coding RNA from Cydia splendana, 468 nucleotides. RefSeq lists it as uncharacterized. The record is from RefSeq and is a predicted model, not a curated record. NCBI's taxonomy places the organism in Eukaryota, Metazoa, Arthropoda, Insecta, Lepidoptera, Tortricidae. The transcript has 2 exons.
CAGGUUUAUAUGUUUUGAUCACACUAGCUCGAAAAAUACCUUAUUUCAUGCAGGUGUACUGAAGGACAAAGGCCUAUAUUGUUCCCACGGGAGUUAUGGAUUGUAAAAAAAAGCUAUAACUCCCUAGGGAGAUAUAGCUUUUUUUUAUUGUGUCACUAAUUCAUACGAACCAUGUAGGUUAUAAGAGUUUUACUUUUAAAAUACUGACGUUUAUUAUUUAAUAUUUUUGUUUAUGAUUAAAAAUAUUUAAUUUGAUUAAUUUAAUAGCCGUUUAAAAUAUUUUUACACAAUUUUCAAUUGUGGCUGAAUUUCGAUGGGUCUGUGCCUUCGAUGCCUACACUACCAAAAAAUUUCAAUAUGGCGGGCGAAUGUUUGAAAUGUCACCGUAUUUGAAUGAUUUCGCUUAAAAUUUAGUUUUUUCUUCGCAAGUGUGAUGAAAAACAUUGUGUGUAACUCCGGGGGUAAUGU